Molecule: long non-coding RNA, 1234 nt
Organism: Ipomoea nil (Japanese morning glory)
Lineage: Eukaryota; Viridiplantae; Streptophyta; Magnoliopsida; Solanales; Convolvulaceae
Exons: 3
Source: RefSeq, a predicted model, not a curated record
GUUACACUAGUUCCUCCAAGAUCGGUUCAUCAUAAUUUGGAGAGUAUUGAAAGUUUGGAUUAUAGGAGUUGUACAAAGGAGUUGUUCUUGAGGAUCCCAAAUCUAAGGACAUUGAGAGUUACUGGUAAUCAUAAAAUUGAAUGCAAAGCUCCCAAUUGGUUUGAAAGUCUUGUCUAUUCUAUGGGGAUGCUAAGCCUAGAGAAUUUUUGGCCAAAUCUUAAGAAGUUAAGAUUCUCUGAUUCAAAUUUAAAAUGGAAGGAUAUGAAUGUUAUUGGUAAGUUGUCUAAGCUUGAGGACCUCACAUUGGAUAAUUCUGUUAAGGGUCGAAAAUGGAAACCCAAAGAUGGAGGAUUUCGUCGAUUAAAGUUCUUGAUGAUAUAUUGGAGUCCUCUACAAUAUUGGAAAGUCACCAGUAAUCAUUUUCCAGUCCUUGAAAAUUUAGUCCUUGGUCACAUAGCUUUGAAAGAAAUUCCUAAUGGUUUUGCAGAAAUAACUACUCUCAAAUCAAUCGAUUUAAAUUUUUGUUGGGAGUCACUUGUAUCAUCUGCUGAGCGUAUUCAAAAAGAGCAGCAGCGGUAUGAAAAUCACAGAUUAGUUGUUGAAAGGCCCACUAGUUAUUUAAAGGUGAGAGUAGGGUGGGCACUGGGCAGCCGGGUGGCUUCUUGGAGUGCAUGCUUUGGAAGCUAGGGUUUGAGGAGGAUUGUUUGAUGUUGAUUACGGUGUUUUUAUCUUCAAUGGCAAGGGAAGUGAAGAAAAGGGAGAUUUUUGGAUGAUGUGCAGCACUAAGGAGCUCUUUUUGAGAUGAUUGAGAGCAUCAUGAGAUAAUCAAGAAGAAGCCAGGAUCGUGUUCAAGAGCCAAGUUAAGUGAUGUCUCUAUUUGAUGACAUCACAUGGGCAUCGACAUUCCCGUGUAGGGGGCCGUUCUUGGGUACAUACAUUGCACAGGUGUGAGAUAGCCUGUAUGUACACACGGGCACCCACACGCCCGUGCUAACGGUCCCAAUCUUGCGUAUUGAGCUGUUGUUUAUUUUGUUCAAAUCUAAAUUUGGAGGGGAGAGCAGAGAACUUUUUCCUAAUUUUUCAGAUAGCUUUCUAGCUUAGAUUAGAUUAUUUUUCUUCAAAAGAAUUUAUCUACUCAGCUUACAUACUUGGAUUAGAGUGGAUUCUUACACCUCAACUCUGAUUUCUCCAUUAAGAGAAGUUUUUCUCUAUCUCUUUUGUUUUAUUUGUGCUA